Long non-coding RNA from Arvicola amphibius (Eurasian water vole), 472 nucleotides. RefSeq lists it as uncharacterized. The record is from RefSeq and is a predicted model, not a curated record. The transcript is spliced from 2 exons. Lineage: Eukaryota; Metazoa; Chordata; Mammalia; Rodentia; Cricetidae.
CACACACACACAAAACUCCCAUACACAGUUCUCGUGUUCCUUGGCUCAAACAGCUUUUGGCUCUCCAUUAUUUGGUUGCAGACCUUGCGGGUUGAAAGUAACGAAUGCAUACAGACUUUCCUCCGCUCUUACCUGAAGCCCACUGACAGGGAAGGAAGAGCCACCGGGGUCUAAGGAUAACUGGGGAUUCCAAAGGAGAUGCUGAGCUCACGUCUCGAGUCUUUCUUGGCUCUGUGAUACCAGCACCAGACACGCCAUUGUACCAUAAGCAUCACCAUCACUUGGGACAAUGGCUCUCAGACUGUGGACUGGGACACCGUGGAGUCACAUGACCUUUUCACAGAGGUUUCCCAAGACUAUCAGAAACACAGAUAUUUACAUUAUAAUUCAUAAUGGCAGCAAAAUUACAGAUAUAAAAUAGCAAUGAAAAUAAUUUUGUGACUUAGAACCAAUAAAGAUGCUUAAAGCUCUC